RNAcentral lists this ribosomal RNA (524 nucleotides) under Bifidobacterium breve. RNAcentral describes it as "bacterial SSU rRNA". It matches the Rfam family "Bacterial small subunit ribosomal RNA", at positions 159 to 693 of the family's 1533-position model. The record is from RNAcentral. Lineage: Bacteria; Bacillati; Actinomycetota; Actinomycetes; Bifidobacteriales; Bifidobacteriaceae.
GGUGGUAAUGCCGGAUGCUCCAUCACACUGCAUGGUGUGUUGGGAAAGCCUUUGCGGCAUGGGAUGGGGUCGCGUCCUAUCAGCUUGAUGGCGGGGUAACGGCCCACCAUGGCUUCGACGGGUAGCCGGCCUGAGAGGGCGACCGGCCACAUUGGGACUGAGAUACGGCCCAGACUCCUACGGGAGGCAGCAGUGGGGAAUAUUGCACAAUGGGCGCAAGCCUGAUGCAGCGACGCCGCGUGAGGGAUGGAGGCCUUCGGGUUGUAAACCUCUUUUGUUAGGGAGCAAGGCACUUUGUGUUGAGUGUACCUUUCGAAUAAGCACCGGCUAACUACGUGCCAGCAGCCGCGGUAAUACGUAGGGUGCAAGCGUUAUCCGGAAUUAUUGGGCGUAAAGGGCUCGUAGGCGGUUCGUCGCGUCCGGUGUGAAAGUCCAUCGCUUAACGGUGGAUCCGCGCCGGGUACGGGCGGGCUUGAGUGCGGUAGGGGAGACUGGAAUUCCCGGUGUAACGGUGGAAUGUGUAG